Molecule: ribosomal RNA, 373 nt
Filed under: uncultured eukaryote
Lineage: Eukaryota
Description: SSU rRNA
Rfam family: Eukaryotic small subunit ribosomal RNA
Source: RNAcentral
AGCUCCAAUAGCGUAUAUUAAAGUUGUUGCAGUUAAAAAGCUCGUAGUUGGAUUUGUGGAUGCACACAAGAUCUAAUUUUAGUGUCCCGAUGUGUUGCCAUCAUUGAGUGGAACCUGUGUGGCAUUAGGUUGUCGGAUAGGGGAUGCCCAUCGUUUACUGUGAAAAAAUUAGAGUGUUCAAAGCAGGCUUAUGCCGUUGAAUAUAUUAGCAUGGAAUAAUGAGAUAAGACCUCGGUAUUAUUUUGUUGGUUUGUGCACUGAGGUAAUGAUUAAUAGGGACAGUUGGGGGUAUUCGUAUUCCAUUGUCAGAGGUGAAAUUCUUGGAUUUCUGGAAGACGAACUACUGCGAAAGCAUUUACCAAGGAUGUUUUCA